This 72-nucleotide transfer RNA is filed under the name Phrynosoma platyrhinos (Desert horned lizard). RNAcentral's name for it is "tRNA-OTHER". Lineage: Eukaryota; Metazoa; Chordata; Lepidosauria; Squamata; Phrynosomatidae. The record is from RNAcentral.
GCCAGUGUUGCGUAGUGGUUUGACUGUUGGACUGUGAUUCUGGAGACCAGAGUUUGAUUCCCUGCUCAGCCA